GAAAAUUAGCAAUAUUGACCUCUUAGCUGAUCUUUUAAAUCAUUGCAAUAAGAAACCUUGGAGGUAUUAUUUUUUAGGCAAAUUUGUCAUCAAAUACAUCUUAAAGAACUCCUAAGCACCUUUUGUGUACGGGUUUACUUUUCGGACUGACGUUCCUCCCUGAAUUGGAGGGAAUGCGUCCUAAUGGUAUAACUUGUAAAUAAUGCUAUUUUGAGUUGGAGCAUAAGGCGCCAAAGGGAAGCCAAGCUUCAAGAAGAAGAAGAAGAAGAAGAAGAAUAUUUUCACACUGGUAGGCCUUGAGUUUAAGUUGGCCUUGGUCUAACAAGUUUCAACAUUAUUAUGCAUUUUCCAUAUAGCAAAUGACAUUUUGAUGUUUGUUUUACUUAGAUACUAAUGUAAGUCGCGCAAAAGUGCUUAUUCAUCUACUAAUUCCAGCAAAAGACCUCAGAGCACAGCGCCAACUAGAGGUCAAAACUUCUAGCUGUUGAUGACUGAAGAACCACCAGCCAUCUACGAUGUGCAAAACUAUUUUGUGGAGUGACAUGUGUAAAAAAUUCGUUGAUACAUUUGCGUGAAGAACCUGCCGCUUAAAAUGCGCGUGAGGCCAAAAACUGAUUCUAAAUAUCUUUGCCAAGAAAGAAGUAGUAGAUUUUUCUACAACACAGAAAAUAUUGUAACGGCACCAACCUUAGGCCGUGAAUAUUUCCUGGCAUAUUGUUGUCAUUUUAAAAUGAUUUCAUCUUUUUAAAAUGUAAUGUGGAGCAAUGAGUGAACAAACUAAGCUUUAUGAUGAGUACUAAGAAUAAGUCGUUUGCUGAAAACUCUACUUUUGAAGUCCAUGUGCUUAUUCACACAAAAGAGAAACAUCGUCUAUGCAGUGUGUAACAGUUCAUUUAUACUAAAGUUAUUUAAACAAUCAUAUAUGUAUUGGCACAGGAAGGAAACCUCAUGUAUGAGAUAUAUAGCAAGUUAUUUAGACAGUAUGGUUCUUUAGACAAGCAUCUGCAGACACAUAAAGGAGGAAAAAUGUGUGUUUAAAAUAUGUAAGCAUUCAUUUGGAUGAAAAAGCACCUUAAACAUGAAUAUGGUUAUUCAGGCUGGAAAGACACCUUAUGUGUGUGAGAUAUGUAAUAAGUCAUUUCCCUACAAAUGUAGAUUAAACAACCAUAUACUUAUUCACAGAGGAGAGAAACCUCAUGUUUGUGAGGUAUGUAACAAGUCAUUUACCAAAAAAAAUAAUUUAAACCAGCAUAUACUCCUCCAUACAGGAGAGAGACCUCAUGUGUGUGAGGUAUGUAAUAAGUCAUUUGUUCGAAAAAGUCACUUAAACAUUCAUUCUUUUAUUCACAAAGAAGAGAAAUGUCAUGUGUGUGAGAUAUGUAAUAAGUCAUUUACUCUAAAAAGUAAUUUAAAUAACCAUUUGCUUCUUCACACAGGAGAGAAACCUCAUCUGUGUCAGAUAUGUAAUAAGUCAUUUAGAGGAAAGAGUUCUUUAAAUAAUCAUAUGCUUAUUCACACAGGAGAGAAACCUCAUGUGUGUGAGGUAUGUAACAAGUCAUUUACUCAAAAAUGUCAUUUAAAUAAACAUAUAUAUAUUCACACAGGUAAGAAACCUCAUGUUUGCGAGUUAUGCAAUAAGUCAUUUAUACAAAAAUGUCAAUUAAACGAACAUAUGCUUAAUCACACAGGAGAGAAACCUCAUGUGUGUAAGAUAUGUAAUAAGUCAUUUGCUUACAAAUUUAGUUUAAACAACCAUAUACUUAUUCACACAGGACAGAAACGACAUGUGUGUGAGAUAUGUAAUAAAUCAUUUUCUUACAAAUGUAGUUUAACCAACCAUAUGCUUAUUCACACAGGAAAGAAACAUCAUGUGUGUGAAGUAUGUAACAAGUCAUUUACUCAUAAAGCUCAUUUAAAUGAACAUACAUUUAUUCACACAGGAGAGAAACCUCAUGUGUGUGAGGUAUGUAUGAAGUCAUUUGCUCAAAAAGGGGAUUUAAAAAAGCAUAUACUUGUUCACACUGGAGAGAAGCCUCAUGUGUGUGAGGUAUGUAAGAAGUCGUUUUCUCAGAUAGGUUCUUUAAAGAAACAUCUGUUUAAUCAUACAGGAGAGAAACCUCAUGUUUGUGAGGUAUGCAAUAAGUCAUUUACUCAAAAAUCUAAUUUAAAGAAGCAUAUGCUUAUCCACCCCAGAAAAGAAAUCCAUGAGUUAUAUGGGUAACAAAUCAUUUAAGUGAUAGAAAAAUUGACACUCAUGUCUAUAUAUAAUGAGAAGGAUAUUUUUCUUUGUGGGAAAGUUACAUUAAAAAGAACCUUUGCUUAUGUGUGCAGUAAAGACUUGUACAUGCUAUAAAGAAAUGCCUUUGUAUGGGGUUUGUUCAACUUUUCAUUUCAUCUUGAUUCUUAAUAAAUCAUUUAUCUGUUCCCACAAGAGAAAAACCUGAUGUCUGUGAAAUAAAUCACAAGUCAUUUUCAAGUGCUGAUUUAAAGCAACAUUUUCUUAGUAUUUAAUUAGUAAUGAAAAAUUUAAAAAAGCAUAUUUGAAGAAUGAAAAGUUAGACACUGAUUAUAUUAUUCUCUAGAAGGAAAUUUUAUUGAUGUCAAAAAUUUCUCCCAUUCAGAAUUUUAAUAUGCAGCUCUUACUGACAUGAUGUCUGAAGGUUUUGAAAGAGCCAUUACCUCUGAGGUACCAUUUGUCCAGACUAAUACGGGAAUCUGAUUGCCUCAGCGAAUAUUCUUAAAUCUUUGUGAAACUGGGCCAGUUUUUAUGAACCAGCACGUAUAAAAAAAACCAUUAAACAGUAACAGGUGGUUUCUGGAGAUGGUUGCAUAGCAUGAUUUUUACUAUUUUUCAACUCUUCUAAAUUUUUAGUAUCUACUCAACAUUUUAUGUACUGAGGAUUCUAAGUUUCGUGCAAUAAAACAUUUGUGAAUUUA
This is an unclassified non-coding RNA of Stegodyphus dumicola, 2937 nucleotides long. NCBI's taxonomy places the organism in Eukaryota, Metazoa, Arthropoda, Arachnida, Araneae, Eresidae. The record is from RefSeq and is a predicted model, not a curated record.